ACCAGAGGUAUUACACUCCUGUCGCUAUCCGUAAAAACAAAAACUUGUUGAGCAAACAUCAAACUUUGAAGAUGCUAGAAUUACUGUUAAUCUCAAAAUUAACGAACGUUUUCUGCUUUAAAAAAUUUCAUCCUUCGUAAAAUUUUGGGUACUGCUAUGUCAACAAUUUGGUAGUUGCUUCAAGUCAUUCUGUUAACAAAAAUUAUGCUUAAUCCGCCAAAACUUGGUCUCUUAAGUUGAACAAUCCAAUUCAAUUGACCACUUGUGUCAGAAUAUGAUUGUCAAUUAAUAUCAUAGUUCCUACAACUAAAUUUUCUAAACAUAUACACGUCUAACUUUUUCUUACACAAAAAGCUAGAUUGCUUGUAAAACGGAACGAACAAUUAACCGAAUAAACGAAACUCAAUAUGUAUAAAUUAACGCA
This is a non-coding RNA of Schizosaccharomyces pombe (fission yeast), 424 nucleotides long. Lineage: Eukaryota; Fungi; Ascomycota; Schizosaccharomycetes; Schizosaccharomycetales; Schizosaccharomycetaceae. The record is from the annotation of a GenBank genome assembly.